Molecule: ribosomal RNA, 427 nt
Filed under: uncultured bacterium
Lineage: Bacteria
Description: bacterial SSU rRNA
Rfam family: Bacterial small subunit ribosomal RNA
Source: RNAcentral
UGGGGAAUCAUGGGCAAUGGGCGCAAGCCUGACCCUGCCAUGCCGCGUGUGUGAAGAAGGCCUUCGGGUUGUAAAGCACUUUCAGUGGUGAAGAAAAGCGCAGGGCUAAUAUCCCUGUGUCUUGACGUUAUCCACAGAAGAAGCACCGGCUAACUCCGUGCCAGCAGCCGCGGUAAUACGGAGGGUGCAAACGUUAAUCGGAAUUACUGGGCGUAAAGCGCGCGUAGGCGGUGUGAUAAGUGGGAUGUGAAAGCCCCGGGCUUAACCUGGGAACUGCAUUCCAAACUGUCACGCUAGAGUAUGGUAGAGGGAGGUGGAAUUUCCUGUGUAGCGGUGAAAUGCGUAGAUAUAGGAAGGAACACCAGUGGCGAAGGCGGCCUCCUGGACCAAUACUGACGCUGAGGUGCGAAAGCGUGGGGAGCAAACA